CCUACGGGAGGCAGCAGUGGGGAAUAUUGGACAAUGGGCGGAAGCCUGAUCCAGCAAUACCGCGUGUGUGAAGAAGGCCUGAGGGUUGUAAAGCACUUUCAAUGGGAAGGAAUACCUACUGGCGAAUACCCGGUAGACUGACAUUACCCAUACAAGAAGCACCGGCUAACUCCGUGCCAGCAGCCGCGGUAAU
This 193-nucleotide ribosomal RNA is filed under the name uncultured Methylococcaceae bacterium. Its description in RNAcentral is "partial 16S ribosomal RNA". It matches the Rfam family "Bacterial small subunit ribosomal RNA", at positions 338 to 524 of the family's 1533-position model. Lineage: Bacteria; Pseudomonadati; Pseudomonadota; Gammaproteobacteria; Methylococcales; Methylococcaceae. The record is from RNAcentral.